CAGAAUGUAGCUUAAUAGAAAAGUAUCUCCCUUACACUGAGAUGAAAUCUGCGCAAUUCAGAUCAUUUUGA
RNAcentral lists this transfer RNA (71 nucleotides) under Polypterus palmas polli. RNAcentral's name for it is "tRNA-Val". It matches the Rfam family "tRNA". Rfam says of the family: Transfer RNA (tRNA) molecules are approximately 80 nucleotides in length. Their secondary structure includes four short double-helical elements and three loops (D, anti-codon, and T loops). Further hydrogen bonds mediate the characteristic L-shaped molecular structure. tRNAs have two regions of fundamental functional importance: the anti-codon, which is responsible for specific mRNA codon recognition, and the 3' end, to which the tRNAs corresponding amino acid is attached (by aminoacyl-tRNA synthetases). tRNAs cope with the degeneracy of the genetic code in two manners: having more than one tRNA (with a specific anti-codon) for a particular amino acid; and 'wobble' base-pairing, i.e. permitting non-standard base-pairing at the 3rd anti-codon position. The record is from RNAcentral. Lineage: Eukaryota; Metazoa; Chordata; Cladistia; Polypteriformes; Polypteridae.